UUACCACGGGGCGCAGCAGUGAGGAAUAUUGGUCAAUGGCCGUAAGGCUGAACCAGCCAAGUAGCGUGAGGGAGGACUGCCCUAUGGGUUGUAAACCUCUUUUAUGCGGGGAUAAAGGUGUCCACGUGUGGAUGUUUGCAGGUACCGCAUGAAUAAGGACCGGCUAAUUCCGUGCCAGCAGCCGCGGUAAUACGGAAGGUCCGGGCGUUAUCCGGAUUUAUUGGGUUUAAAGGGAGCGUACGCCGGUCUUCAAGCGUGCCGUG
This 263-nucleotide ribosomal RNA is filed under the name uncultured bacterium. Its description in RNAcentral is "partial 16S ribosomal RNA". It matches the Rfam family "Bacterial small subunit ribosomal RNA", at positions 335 to 596 of the family's 1533-position model. The record is from RNAcentral.